AAUACAGAUUUCUCAAAGCUAAAGCUAUUCAAAGAUGCAUAACUAAAUCGCACCGAUAUCCUGCAUUAUCGCAUUAUCUUCGAUAGAUAUCGAAGAUGUGUGUUUUUCGAAGAAGUGCUUUCUACGCGUCGCAAUUGGUGAUGGAUUACAUGUAUAGGCACGGCACGGCUUCACUGGAAUCUUAAAAUUUUUUUAAAGGCAAGUGAUACGUGCUGAGCUAAUUUAUUAUGAUCUAUUAUCAUGAUUAUCAUUUAUAAUCUAUUUAUUGUGCAUGAAAUAAAAUUUGACAUUAUAAAGUUCGUAAUAGCCUAAUAAAAGUAAGUAUAUACAAUAAAUUUUUAAGUAGAGGGAACUUUAUGGAAUACAAGAUACAAAUGUUAUUGUUGUAUUUUUCAUUAUAUAUGUUUAUUGUAUUUAUUUAUUAUAAAUGUUAUAAAGAAUAUGUAAAUCGUUUCUUAUGUGUUAUGUAAUUUUCAUUUUACAUUCAAUUGUGUCGCAUAAAGCGAUGCGUGAUUUUAUCAGAAGAUGGCAGUAUAUUACAUUCGAUGUACGAAUGACAGCGGUCGGGAUGAUAGAUCUCUUGCAGUUUAGAUAUAAUAUUUAAACAAAGUAAUAAUAAAAAUUAUUUGUGCGUAGAUCACACAAAACGUGUGAUUUAAAAAAAAUUAUUUAAAAUAAUAUCUACAAUGAUCUUUAUUAAAAUCAACGUGUUUACAAAUACAAUACAUUAUAUUGUAUUAACAUUUUAUCGCUAGACAAAAGUUUAUUAUUUUCUUUUAAGCAAGCAGGAUUGCAAGUGUACUUUCCACUGUUAGUUGUAUUAUUUAGUUAGUUAUAUAUGUUAUUUAUAUAUUAUAUUAUAAUGUAACUAAAUUAAUUUUUUGUUGAUUGUUCCUUCCUUUGCUAAAGCUGCAAAAUAAUAGAAGGUAACAUAAUUGGUUUACUGUAAUUUCAUGUUUCUACUUUGUUGAACGGAUACAUAUUCUGACAGCAAUUUAUCCAAUAUAUUUUAUGGUUCCAGGAUCCACUUUAUCUGUCAUAGCUGAAGCUGUUUUUUCCAUCACAUCCUUAUUCUGUCUGUAAAAGCAAAUAUAAGGUAGCCAUAGCGCAAACAGUAA
This is a long non-coding RNA of Ooceraea biroi (clonal raider ant), 1118 nucleotides long. RefSeq lists it as uncharacterized. The record is from RefSeq and is a predicted model, not a curated record. Lineage: Eukaryota; Metazoa; Arthropoda; Insecta; Hymenoptera; Formicidae.